GAUGAACGCUAGCUACAGGCUUAACACAUGCAAGUCGAGGGACCGGCGCACGGGUGAGUAACACGUAUCCAACCUGCCCUUUACUCGGGGAUAGCCUUUCGAAAGAAAGAUUAAUACCCGAUAUAAAGGAUGGGGAUGCGUUCCAUUGGGUUGUUGGUGAGGUAACGGCUCACCAAGCCUUCGAUGGAUAGUGGUGCGGAGAGGAAGGUCCACCACAUCGGAACUGAGACACGGUCCAAACUCCGACGGGAGGAAGCAGUAAGGAAUAUUGGUCAAUGUGCUCUAGCCUGAACCAGCCAAGUAGCGUGAAGGAUGAAGUCUUAUGGUUCGUAAUCUUCUUUUAUAUAAGAAUAUGUAUUAUAUGAAUAAGGAUCGGCUAACUCCGUGCCAGCAGCCGCGGUAAUAC
This 406-nucleotide ribosomal RNA is filed under the name uncultured bacterium. RNAcentral describes it as "partial 16S ribosomal RNA". It matches the Rfam family "Bacterial small subunit ribosomal RNA", at positions 28 to 526 of the family's 1533-position model. The record is from RNAcentral.